UGAUAGCUGAGCUCUGAGUAGGUAG
Molecule: non-coding RNA, 25 nt
Filed under: Mus musculus (house mouse)
Lineage: Eukaryota; Metazoa; Chordata; Mammalia; Rodentia; Muridae
Source: RNAcentral